AGUGGAGGAAGACCUGCGGAUGAGACAAGAGAGCAUCCUUGGAGGAUGCUGAUGUCGUGGCUUGUGUUACGUGGGCGAAGGAUGCAGCUCACCACCUUUGUCUCCCGCGAUGACUUCAUUAAGCAACUCUGAAUUAUAAAGCUGAGUCUUUCCUGAAGCUGGCACCAUUUUCGGUAUAGAAACAAAAGAUGAUUUAAUUGGGCUAUUGGAAGCCACAGACCAGGUAUACGCACAAGCCUACACAGCUGUUCAGUGAGAUGGGAAAGAGGAUGGUUUUGGCCAGGCUGCAGAAUUCAUUUUUCUUAUAACUGGAGUCUUGGCAAGGUGUGGUUUAGGCUUCCUGCAUGAAAACCCUCGGCCUGUAGGUCUCAGCUUGCCAUCGUCCUGAGCGUGAGGCCCCGGAGCUGUAAGUGCACACCAAAGGCAGCCCAGGCGUCUCCUUGCUGGGUUUGGAUUCAGGCCUGCCGAUGCCCCCGUUGCUACGUGAUGGUUAUAAAACGAGUCAAACCGUAGCCGGGCUGAAGACAAGAAUGACACGUAUAGGUUAUUCUGAAACGUAACUUAAGGAUCUGGUGAGCUACGAGAGGUCUUUGUGUACUGAAAGAGGC
Molecule: long non-coding RNA, 608 nt
Organism: Harpia harpyja (harpy eagle)
Lineage: Eukaryota; Metazoa; Chordata; Aves; Accipitriformes; Accipitridae
Exons: 3
Source: RefSeq, a predicted model, not a curated record